UGAGGAAUCUUGCGCAAUGGGGGAAACCCUGACGCAGCAACGCCGCGUGAGUGAGGAAGGUUUUCGAAUCGCAAAGCUCUGUCAGGUGGAAAGAAAUGUAUGGACGUUAAUAGCUUCCAUGCCUGACGGUACCACCAGAGGAAGCACCGGCUAACUCCGUGCCAGCAGCCGCGGUAAUACGGGGGGUGCAAGCGUUGUUCGGAAUCAUUGGGCGUAAAGAGCGUGUAGGCGGCUUGAUAAGUCAGAUGUGAAAGCCCUGGGCUUAACCCAGGAAGUGCAUUUGAUACUGUCUAGCUAGAGUAAGGGAGAGGAAAGCGGAAUUCCUGGUGUAGAGGUGAAAUUCGUAGAUAUCAGGAGGAACACCGGUGGCGAAGGCGGCUUUCUGGCCCUAUACUGACGCUGAGACGCGAGAGCGUGGGUAGCAAACA
This 428-nucleotide ribosomal RNA is filed under the name uncultured prokaryote. Its description in RNAcentral is "bacterial SSU rRNA". It matches the Rfam family "Bacterial small subunit ribosomal RNA", at positions 355 to 774 of the family's 1533-position model. The record is from RNAcentral.